Molecule: ribosomal RNA, 398 nt
Filed under: uncultured bacterium
Lineage: Bacteria
Description: bacterial SSU rRNA
Rfam family: Bacterial small subunit ribosomal RNA
Source: RNAcentral
UAUUGCACAAUGGGGGGAACCCUGAUGCAGCGACGCCGCGUGGGCGAUGGAGUACUUCGGUAUGUAAAGCCCUAUCAGCAGGGAAGAAAAUGACGGUACCUGACUAAGAAGCCCCGGCCAAAUACGUGCCAGCAGCCGCGGUAAUACGUAUGGGGCAAGCGUUAUCCGGAUUUACUGGGUGUAAAGGGAGCGUAGGCGGCCUGGCAAGCCUGAUGUGAAAUACCGGGGCCCAACCCCGGGGCUGCAUUGGGAACUGCCAGGCUGGAGUGCCGGAGAGGCAGGCGGAAUUCCUAGUGUAGCGGUGAAAUGCGUAGAUAUUAGGAGGAACACCAGUGGCGAAGGCGGCCUGCUGGACGGUGACUGACGCUGAGGCUCGAAAGCGUGGGGAGCAAACAGGA